UUCACCUCUUGUAUUUAUAGGCAAUUCAUUUGAAAAGCAGGGGUAGAUUGUUCCCAUUCUGUUUUUUAAGUUUGCUUGUGAUUGUCAUGUUUCUGCAUUUUAUUCAGAUCGUUCCCUGUUCUAUUUGUUUUUUGUUUGCGUAUGAUCCUCUUAUGUUUUUAUUCGGUUUUUUGUGAUUAGAUUUUUUUCUAUUUCAAUUUUCAUGGUAUUCUGAAUUUAGAAUGGGGCACUGAGGAGGACAGAGCUAUACAUCCAUUAUAUUUGCAGUUGCAUUUCGUCUAAUAUGCAAGGAGGGUAUUCGAUCACGGGACCUAUUCCGACAGAGCUUGGGAGAUUGCAGAGUCUGCGUCAUAUGGAGAUCGGUUAUAAUUCUCAUUCGGGCGUCCCGCCACAAGGGACAAUGGUACAUACUACAUAGAGUGACGGCUAAACUUUAGAAACUUAGGUCCUUCAGUAUACAAACUUAGGUUCCAAAAUUUAAAAAAGUUGGCUGGGAUAUUCUGAACAUAAAAGGAUACAAACUGACAGUAGACAGGGAUUGAAUAUUUCAAUAUGUUGUAUGAAUAACUCCUGCAAUUCCUGUUAUUGUCAUGCAAUAAACUCUUGAUUGGGAUAUGCCUGUUAUUGUCAUAUGCCAACUGCUUAUUGGGAUGAUGCUUGGGUUCAUAUUUUUACCUUGGAAUGGCUUGUGGCUCUAAUGGGUUAGGUUGGUUGUGUAACCAAUUCAGGUGGUAAGUAUGGUUUUAGAGAUUGCUAUGAUUAGAUAAAGUCUUCAUUUGGUUCUUUUGAAUCUUUUUCUAAACAUGGAUUUGUUUUGUCCUUAAACAUAUUUUUACCUUGGAAUGACUUGUGGCUCUAAUGGGUUAGGCUGGUUGUGUAACCAAUUCAGGUGGUAAGUAUGGUUUUAGGGAUUGCUGUGAUUAGAUAAAGUCUUCAUUUGGUUCUUUUGAAUCUUUUUCUGAACAUGGAUUUGUUUUGUCCUUAAACAUAUUUUGAUCCAUGCCUGCACUAUGCUAGUUGUCUCAUCUGAAACAGAUAAACAGUUCUUGAAAUGGAAACGUCACUUUCAAAAUACAGUUCUUGAAUAUUUCAAUAUGUUAUAUGAAUAACUCCUGUAAUUCCUUUUAGAUUACCAUUAUUUGAAAUGCGAUAACCCCUUGAUUGGGAUAUGCCUAUUAUUGUCAUAUGCCAACUGCUUAUUGGGAUGCUUGGGUUCAUAUUUUUACCUUGGAAUGGCUUGUGUCUCUAAUGGGUUAGGUUGGUUGUGUAAGUAAAUCAGGUGGUAAGUAUGGUUUUAGUCUUUUAGAGAUUGCUAUGAUUAGAUAAAGUGUUCAUUUGGUUCUAAUCUUAUUCUUGAUCCAUGUCUGCACUAUGCUAGUUGUCUCAUCUGAAACAGAUAAACAGCUCUUGAAAUGGAGAAACAUCACUUUCAAACUACAGGGAAACAACAUAUGAAUUCAAAAAUAAAAAAUACUCUGAGAAACUAGAAUCUUAUUGAAUUGAAAAUGUGAAACAGAAACCCAAACAUAUAAUUUUGCAACAAAAUAUUUGGAAUCCUAUAUUGUGCUUGCUCAUUAUGUCCUUGCUGUCUCUAAUGGGUUAGGUUGGUUGUGUAAGUAAAUCAGGUGGUAAGUAUGGUUUUAGUCUUUUAGAGAUUGCUAUGAUUAGAUAAAGUGUUCAUUUGGUUCUAAUCUUAUUCUUGAUCCAUGUCUGCACUAUGCUAGUCGUCUCAUUUGAAACAGAUAAGGAGAAACAUCACUUUCAAACUACAGGGAAACAACAUAUGAUUUCAAAAAUAAAAAAUACUCUGAGAAACUAGAAUCUAAUUGAAUUGAAAAUGUGAAACAGAAACCUUAACAUAUAAUUUUGCAACAAAAUAUUUGGAAUCCUAUAUUGUGCUUGCUCAUUAUGUCCUUGCUGUCUGCUUUGCUUUUUGGGUUCCAUUUUUUUUUUUCCCUUGUUUUUGAAUUCCGUUUUGGGCGUCGCCCUGUAGUAGUAGGAAUUUGUAAGGAGUUGGGAAUUGUUUCUGUAUCAUCUUUGUCAUGUGAGAUGCUGCUUCUCAACUCUUCUUCCAUUUCUUUUUUUUUCCCUUGUUUUUGAAUUCCGUUUUGGGCGUCGCCCUGUAGUAGUAGGAAUUUGUAAGGAGUUGGGAAUUGUUUCUGUAUCAUCUUUGUCAUGUGAGAUGCUGCUUCUCAACUCUUCUACAGUACUAUAUGCAGUUUUGUAAAAAAGAUGUUUAGGGAUUAGACCACUAUCUGUGGUAAGUAGCCAAAAUAUCACUAACUAAUAAUUUGAGAUGAAGUGCAUUUAUUGUAAGUUAUGUAACUUACUCUCUUAACCGUCAUUGAAGAAGUAAAAGUAGUAAACAUCGUUUCUAAAAGCAGAUGCAUUUUAUGCAAUUUUGAUUGAUGUGAACUUGGCUAGGAGAUAAAUUUUCAAAGCUAAUGAUAAAACAGAAUGAUGAUUUGUCAUACUAUGCUUUAGCCUCUAGCUCUUGCUUCUAAAGGAUUUUGAAUCCCACUUCUUCCCGGGACUUUGUUGCAUGUUUAUCAAUAAGCUGUUCGUAGUCUAAACUUCUGGUUCAUAUUAGUAUUGAAUUACUAUUUUAUUGUUCACCAAGCCAAUCUUUGGUGCAAUAUCUUUAAAUUUGAACUGAUUUUUUUUGGAGUGACUUUAUUAUCUGAGUAGUAGAUGUCUACUUGUUAACAGUCUCACAAUUUUCUCUUAUUGCCUUGGCUAGGAGAUUUGUUUAAGAGUUAAUACCUGUUUGUCCUUAUUAAACCAAGAUUGUAGGAAUAUUAGAUGCUUUUUCAUUCAUAUAAUUACAGUCACCCUUUUAUCACAUAUUAAAUAGGCUUUUUUUUUCAGAAACCUUCUUUCACACAAAAUAAAUGCUCUGGUUUUGUUAAUAAAACAGAUUUACAAGGAAAGAUAUUUUUCUCUUGCCUUGUUAAUGAAUAUCCCCAAAAGUACAUUACUUGUGAUAUGAGAUGCUUUAAAUGGGUAGGAUUGUGAGUGACUUCUCAAUUGCUACCAUUGACGAUGGAAUUUCUUUCUCUGAUUGUAAUAUCUUUAAUGUCUGGUUUCUAUUGAUUUCUACUGUAUACUUUUAGGUUGUUAGUGACAUGAAAAACCUUUCUUUAAUGGUUUCAGAAUUUCUUACAAUAUUGAAUAUUGUUGCU
RNA transcript from Cryptomeria japonica (Japanese cedar), 3182 nucleotides. RefSeq lists it as uncharacterized. Lineage: Eukaryota; Viridiplantae; Streptophyta; Pinopsida; Cupressales; Cupressaceae. The record is from RefSeq and is a predicted model, not a curated record. The transcript has 2 exons.